This 431-nucleotide ribosomal RNA is filed under the name Allobates fuscellus. RNAcentral describes it as "partial large subunit ribosomal RNA". It matches the Rfam family "Bacterial large subunit ribosomal RNA", at positions 1958 to 2537 of the family's 2925-position model. Lineage: Eukaryota; Metazoa; Chordata; Amphibia; Anura; Aromobatidae. The record is from RNAcentral.
AGCGUAAUCACUUGUUCUUUAAAUGAGGACUCGUAUGAACGGCUUCACGAAUGCUAUACUGUCUCCUUUAUCCAAUCAGUUAAACUAAUCUCCCCGUGAAGAAGCGGGGAUUCACCUAUAAGACGAGAAGACCCUAUGGAGCUUUAAACACUCUUAAACAUUUGAACCCUUUAUUAUUUACCUCCAGAAAACUUCACUAAACCCCCUCAUUUUGUUUAAACUUUUAGGUUGGGGCGACCACGGAGAAAAACCUAACCUCCACGUGGAAAGAAACUUAAUUCUAAGCAAAAAGCCACAUCUUUAUGCAUCAAUAAUAUUGACCUAAAUUGACCCAAUUAUUUGAUAAACGAACCAAGUUACCCUAGGGAUAACAGCGCAAUCCGCUUUAAGAGCUCCUAUCGACAAGCGGGCUUACGACCUCGAUGUUGGAU